This 62-nucleotide transfer RNA is filed under the name Proasellus ortizi. RNAcentral's name for it is "transfert RNA-R(CGA)". The record is from RNAcentral. Lineage: Eukaryota; Metazoa; Arthropoda; Malacostraca; Isopoda; Asellidae.
AGAUAAGAAGUGACAUACACGCUUUAACUUCGAACUAAAGAAGGAAUUUUUUUCCUUAUCUU